RNAcentral lists this long non-coding RNA (715 nucleotides) under Homo sapiens (human). RNAcentral describes it as "HSALNT0347462". The record is from RNAcentral. Lineage: Eukaryota; Metazoa; Chordata; Mammalia; Primates; Hominidae.
GUCCAGCUGAGGCCCUCUUGGACAACACUUCCUCUCCUGCCCAUGAUGAGGAAACUGAGGCCCCACGUGGUGAAGACAAUUUUUACCCGAAUCCACCCACAACAAGAGACCAUUUGGAUAAUGUACAUUAUGGGAAGAGAACAGAGUCUCAGUGAAGAUCAUGUUUCCCCAGCAACACAGGUGCCAGGAGUAGCUGGCUCUGGUCCCAGCCCAGACUCAGAAAUCCUGAGCCACCAGACCAUUUCUAGAUUAACAAAGGCCUGCAUUAAUUUGAUUUCAGUGACCCACUGGAAACCAGUGUCAGCAUAACAACAGUUACGAGAGCUAAACCUACAAAAUAGAAACACAAGUAAAACUUGUUCAAGUGGUUUGCAGUCAUUGAACAUAGAUCAGCUCCUAUGAAAACAAACUCCAUGGGUUUUCUUUGAUGGCAGUUCUGCUCUAAAGAUGGAUAAGGAAGGAGGUUCCAAGAUGGCCGAAUAGGAACAGCUCCAGUCUACAGCUCCCAGCAUGAGCAACGCAGAAGACAGGGGAUUUCUGCAUUUCCAAUUGAGAACACAGGAGCUAUGUGGAGAGUUGAUGGAGGGACAUUCCAGGCAGAGAGAACAGCAAACACAAAGGCCUUGAAGGGCUCAACACCACAUGGAAGCUGCCAAGGCUUGGGGCUCGCACCAUCUGAAGACAUGGUCUGAACUCUACGUUGGCCCUUUCAGCC